GCUGACCAGACAGUCGCCGCUUUGUCGUCGUCCUCACUUGUGGGGAGACGGGCAGAGGGGAGGAAAGUCCGGGCUCCAUAGGGCAGGGUGCCAGGUAACGCCUGGGAGGCGCAAGCCUACGACCAGUGCAACAGAGAGCAAACCGCCGAUGGCCCGCGCAAGCGGGAUCAGGUAAGGGUGAAAGGGUGCGGUAAGAGCGCACCGCGCGGCUGGCAACAGUCCGUGGCACGGUAAACUCCACCCGGAGCAAGGCCAAAUAGGGGUUCACAUGGUACGGCCCGUACUGAACCCGGGUAGGCUGCUUGAGCCAGUGAGCGAUUGCUGGCCUAGAUGAAUGACUGUCCACGACAGAACCCGGCUUAACGGUCAGCUU
This 373-nucleotide RNase P RNA is filed under the name Pantoea agglomerans. Its description in RNAcentral is "Bacterial RNase P class A". It matches the Rfam family "Bacterial RNase P class A". Rfam says of the family: Ribonuclease P (RNase P) is a ubiquitous endoribonuclease, found in archaea, bacteria and eukarya as well as chloroplasts and mitochondria. Its best characterised activity is the generation of mature 5'-ends of tRNAs by cleaving the 5'-leader elements of precursor-tRNAs. Cellular RNase Ps are ribonucleoproteins. The record is from RNAcentral. Lineage: Bacteria; Pseudomonadati; Pseudomonadota; Gammaproteobacteria; Enterobacterales; Erwiniaceae.